RNAcentral lists this ribosomal RNA (467 nucleotides) under uncultured bacterium. RNAcentral describes it as "bacterial SSU rRNA". It matches the Rfam family "Bacterial small subunit ribosomal RNA", at positions 329 to 795 of the family's 1533-position model. The record is from RNAcentral.
GCCCAGACUCCUACGGGAGGCAGCAGUGAGGAAUAUUGGUCAAUGGGCGCGAGCCUGAACCAGCCAGGUCGCGUGAGGGAAGACGGUCCUAUGGAUUGUAAACCUCUUUUGUCGGGGAGCAAAAGACGCCACGCGUGGCGUUCCGAGAGUACCCGAAGAAAAAGCAUCGGCUAACUCCGUGCCAGCAGCCGCGGUAAUACGGAGGAUGCGAGCGUUAUCCGGAUUUAUUGGGUUUAAAGGGUGCGUAGGCGGAAUAUCAAGUCAGCGGUAAAAAUUCGGGGCUCAACCCCGUCGUGCCGUUGAAACUGAUGUUCUUGAGUGCGCGGAAGGCAGGCGGAAUUCGUGGUGUAGCGGUGAAAUGCUUAGAUAUCACGAAGAACCCCGAUUGCGAAGGCAGCCUGCCGCAGCGUUACUGACGCUGAAGCUCGAAAGCGCGGGUAUCGAACAGGAUUAGAUACCCCCGUAAC